Molecule: long non-coding RNA, 207 nt
Filed under: Elaeis guineensis (African oil palm)
Lineage: Eukaryota; Viridiplantae; Streptophyta; Magnoliopsida; Arecales; Arecaceae
Description: long non-coding RNA (EGUI_LNC004564)
Source: RNAcentral
GUUCCAACUAUUUUUAGCGAAGUUUCUCUCACAAUGGUUCAUGGCUUCAGAAAAAUGGAGCAAAGAGCAAGUACUCAACCAGAGAGCGUGGAUAAACCAAAAGCUCCUUUUGUUUGGUAGGUUGGUGAUACCAAAUCACCUACCUAACCCAUUACCAUGGUUCAUUAAGAUAAUGCGUAAAUUUUUGUUUGGUGGGUUGGUGAUAUC